UAACAUCAUUGAUGCCUUAACCCUAGAAC
This 29-nucleotide non-coding RNA is filed under the name Rattus norvegicus (Norway rat). The record is from RNAcentral. Lineage: Eukaryota; Metazoa; Chordata; Mammalia; Rodentia; Muridae.